AUUGAACGCUGGCGGCAGGCCUAACACAUGCAAGUCGAACGAGUGGCGGACGGGUGAGUAAUGUCUGGGAAACUGCCUGAUGGAGGGGGAUAACUACUGGAAACGGUAGCUAAUACCGCAUACCAUCGGAUGUGCCCAGAUGGGAUUAGCUAGUAGUGGUGGUAAAGGCUCACCUAGGCGACGAUCCCUAGCUGGUCUGAGAGGAUGACGAGCCACACUGGAACUGAGACACGGGCAAGCAUCCUAAGGGAGGCAGCAGUGGGAAAUAUUGCACAAUGGGCGCAAGCCUGAUGCAGCAAUGCCGCGUGUAUGAAGAAGGCCAUCGGGUUGUAAAGUACUUUCAGCGGGGAGGCGUUACCCGCAGAAGAAGCAACGGCUAACUCCGUGCCAGCCGCCGCGGUAAUAC
Molecule: ribosomal RNA, 406 nt
Filed under: uncultured bacterium
Lineage: Bacteria
Description: partial 16S ribosomal RNA
Rfam family: Bacterial small subunit ribosomal RNA
Source: RNAcentral